AGAGAUCUUAGAUGCAGAGGCUGCGAAGUUUGACGAAAUAUUUUCUAUUUCUUUGAAGCAUGGGAUGAUAACAACACGAUCAUUAAGCGAAUAGCCUCUAAAGAGAUGGAACACAGGCAAGUUGAAUUUGAUAUAGCACCUCAACAAAUUGGAGAGGGCGAAAAGCUGGUGAAUGCCUCAAAAAUAGUUUGUCGAGAAAUUGAUUGGUCUUUUCACCUAUUCGUGGAAACAUUGUUU
This 237-nucleotide long non-coding RNA is filed under the name Nicotiana benthamiana. RNAcentral's name for it is "long non-coding RNA (NBEN_LNC028504)". The record is from RNAcentral. Lineage: Eukaryota; Viridiplantae; Streptophyta; Magnoliopsida; Solanales; Solanaceae.